GUACCUAGAAGUGGCCAUUCAGCGGUGGCCGUGUUUAUUCUAACUGCAGGAGGGCUAACGGCAGUGGGAAAGGCGGAACUGGACGGCUUUGAGUUUAGAGGUGACUCCGACAGGGGAGACAGGAGUGGGACGCUCGUGACCCCGCUCGGCUUGUUGUGUUUCCUCGUGAUCAGAAGCAGUUUAUUCCGAAUUGCAACUACGAUCCUCAGCUCUCUGCUAUGUAAAAUCUGGGCAGUCUGAGAAAAAGAUUAAUUGAACAGAAACCACUAAAAUAUGAAGAAUCGAGCUACCUUUCGUCUUCUCAAGCUUGUUCUCUCUGCACUCACACUUGCUCUUCACAGCCUGUUUGCCCUCGAUGCCCUUCUGCACAGCACUCAGCCUGAAGACAAAGAGGCGGGCGUCUUUUCCUGGUGAAGACAAAGCAGAUGGAGGAGGAGAUGAAGGGAAAAGUAAAAUGACCUGGAAGAGCUGAAAGAGCAGACUGUGUGGGAAAACUGCUGCUAGGGGAAUUAGGAUUUGGAAUGUUCUAGAAUUCGAGAGAAACUCCACACUGCCUUGACCUAACAGUGCAUUUAAGGAUGCCCCCCCUUCUCUCCCUCACCGUCCCCUCCUCAGAGAACAAAUAGGCCACCCAGGAACCCUGAGCACUGGGCACCAGGAGAAGAAACAGCUGGCACAACCCAUGGAAUCAGACCCCCACGACCCUCGGUGUCGGCCGCAGAAGGCUGCAUGCU
Equus quagga is the source of this 734-nucleotide long non-coding RNA. RefSeq lists it as uncharacterized. Lineage: Eukaryota; Metazoa; Chordata; Mammalia; Perissodactyla; Equidae. The record is from RefSeq and is a predicted model, not a curated record. The transcript has 3 exons.